UGGGGAAUAUUGCACAAUGGGCGCAAGCCUGAUGCAGCCAUGCCGCGUGUAUGAAGAAGGCCUUCGGGUUGUAAAGUACUUUCAGCGGGGAGGAAGGCGAUAAGGUUAAUAACCUUGUCGAUUGACGUUACCCGCAGAAGAAGCACCGGCUAACUCCGUGCCAGCAGCCGCGGUAAUACGGAGGGUGCAAGCGUUAAUCGGAAUUACUGGGCGUAAAGCGCACGCAGUCGGUCUGUCAAGUCGGAUGUGAAAUCCCCGGGCUCAACCUGGGAACUGCAUUCGAAACUGGCAGGCUAGAGUCUUGUAGAGGGGGGUAGAAUUCCAGGUGUAGCGGUGAAAUGCGUAGAGAUCUGGAGGAAUACCGGUGGCGAAGGCGGCCCCCUGGACAAAGACUGACGCUCAGGUGCGAAAGCGUGGGGAGCAAACA
RNAcentral lists this ribosomal RNA (427 nucleotides) under uncultured bacterium. RNAcentral describes it as "partial 16S ribosomal RNA". It matches the Rfam family "Bacterial small subunit ribosomal RNA", at positions 355 to 774 of the family's 1533-position model. The record is from RNAcentral.